This 465-nucleotide ribosomal RNA is filed under the name uncultured bacterium. RNAcentral describes it as "partial 16S ribosomal RNA". It matches the Rfam family "Bacterial small subunit ribosomal RNA", at positions 28 to 507 of the family's 1533-position model. The record is from RNAcentral.
GACGAACGCUGGCGGCGUGCUUAACACAUGCAAGUCGAACGGAAAGGCCCCCUUGUGGGGUACUCGAGUGGCGAACGGGUGAGUAACACGUGAGUAACCUACCCUUUACUUUGGGAUAACUUCAGGAAACUGGGGCUAAUACCGGAUAGGAGCUCCUGCUGCAUGGUGGGGGUUGGAAAGUUUCGGCGGUUGGGGAUGGGCUCGCGGCUUAUCAGCUUGUUGGUGGGGUAGUGGCUACCCAAGGCUUUGGCGGGUAGCCGGCCUGAGAGGGUGACCGGCCACAUUGGGACUGAGAUACGGCCCAGACUCCUACGGGAGGCAGCAGUGGGGAAUAUUGCACAAUGGGCGGAAGCCUGAUGCAGCAACGCCGCGUGCGGGAUGACGGCCUUCGGGUUGUAAACCGCUUUCGCCUGUGACGAAGCGUGAGUGACGGUAAUGGGUGAAGAAGCACCGGCUAACUACGUG